AGUGAACGCUGGCGGUAGGCCUAACACAUGCAAGUCGAACGGCAGCACAGUAAGAGCUUGCUCUUACGGGUGGCGAGUGGCGGACGGGUGAGGAAUACAUCGGAAUCUACUUUUUCGUGGGGGAUAACGUAGGGAAACUUACGCUAAUACCGCAUACGAUCUACGGGUGAAAGCAGUGGAUCUUCGCACCUUGCGCGAUUGAAUUAGCCGAUGUCGGAUUAGCUAGUUGGCGGGGUAAAGGCCCACCAAGGCGACGAUCCGUAGCUGGUCUGAGAGGAUGAUCAGCCACACUGGAACUGAGACACGGUCCAGACUCCUACGGGAGGCAGCAGUGGGGAAUAUUGGACAAUGGGCGCAAGCCUGAUCCAGCCAUACCGCGUGGGUGAAGAAGGCCUUCGGGUUGUAAAGCCCUUUUGUUGGGAAAGAAAAGCAGCAGGUUAAUACCCCGCUGUUCUGACGGUACCCAAAGAAUAAGCACCGGCUAACUUCGUG
RNAcentral lists this ribosomal RNA (492 nucleotides) under uncultured bacterium. Its description in RNAcentral is "partial 16S ribosomal RNA". It matches the Rfam family "Bacterial small subunit ribosomal RNA", at positions 29 to 507 of the family's 1533-position model. The record is from RNAcentral.